Non-coding RNA from Prunus persica (peach), 135 nucleotides. The record is from Rfam. Lineage: Eukaryota; Viridiplantae; Streptophyta; Magnoliopsida; Rosales; Rosaceae.
UUGGGAGCUCACUGGCUUUGGAGUCAAGGGAGCUCACUGGCUUUGGAGUCAAGGGAACUCCGAAGUUAAGCGAGUUGGGGCUAGAGAAAUCCCAGGAUGGGUGACCCAUUAGGAAGUUGCUCGUGAGUUCCCAAA